CAGUCGUACCGGCGGAUAAUCAGCCUUUCGGGUGCGAUUCUGUGGGGCGUGGAGGAGUUUAACCGCCUUCAUUGUUUUGCAUAUUCGUGCACAUUUGGUGUACUUGUCCGUGUGGUGGGUUAACAUCUAAUUUUGGUGGUCAUAAAAUGACUGGAGG
RNAcentral lists this ribosomal RNA (157 nucleotides) under Rhizophagus intraradices. The record is from RNAcentral. Lineage: Eukaryota; Fungi; Glomeromycota; Glomeromycetes; Glomerales; Glomeraceae.